GUUUGUUUGUUUGUUUGUUUGUUUGUUUGUUUGUUUGUUUGUUUGUUUGUUUGUUUGUUGCUUGCUUGGUUCCUUCCUUGCUUGCUUGCCUGCCUGCCUGCUUGCUUGCUUGCCAACCUCGUUCCAGGGCUUUUCCCUUUUUGUCAUUGGGAAGGCGGGAAAAGGCCCUGGCACCGGCCGGUCUUCUAUGUAUUCUGAUUGGUCAAUGUACAAGUAUAUUAUUAUGCAAAUAAUGCAACCUUGGAUUAAUUUAUUCAAACCUUGGGAUAAAUUAACAUUCCAUGCAAAGAGUGUCCAUUAUUAAUACUUUGUCCGUCUAAGAAAUAUUUUUGGUAAAAACUGUGGCAAAAUGGUUAAAUUAGAUAAGAUUUAUACACAAUUUGUCGAAGGUUAGUGUUAUUUUUUUGUUUUAAACUGUGAGAGAAGAUUAAUUGUGUACUAGAACACACCUCUGAGGCUCUGACCGAGUAUUUAGGGCAAAAUGUGCCUUCAUAUUUGGCCUCGUAUAGCUUUAAUAAUGUUUAUAUUUGUAAAGCUAAAGUCUGGGUUUAUAAACUGAAACAUGACCUUUAGUUUUUGAUAUUCUUCAUAGUCGAGUUUAAAUUGGCCUAAUUUAUAGUUAGUUGCCACUAGAAAUGCGACGAUAUUUUGUUAUAUAUAUGCAACAGUGUUUACAACUUUUGAAUAAUAUGUGAUUUGGUUUUGUUUCAGAUACUAUUACAUGUUGCUUCAUUUUACCAUAAAUUGUGUUAAAAAAGUGAUUUGCUCAUUUGGCUGAUGUUACAGUUUUC
Molecule: non-coding RNA, 791 nt
Organism: Paramuricea clavata
Lineage: Eukaryota; Metazoa; Cnidaria; Anthozoa; Malacalcyonacea; Plexauridae
Source: the annotation of a GenBank genome assembly